CUGCGCGCCGCCGCCGCCGCUCUCCUUCAUGGCCUUCGCCUGUCCCUCCUUCCCUGCUCGCUGCCCCCACCUACGGUCGCGUCCCGCUCGGCGCUCGUCCACGCCAGACGCCCACACCAGAUACCACCACCGGCCAGCCACAAGCUCGAGAAUAGGCGGCGGCGCAGACCUGGCUUCCCCCUCGGCGCUGGCGUGCAGAGUUUGCACUGCAGAUCUGUUUCGGUGUGGGUUUCAAGGGCGUAAGCAGCACGCUACGAGUUGAGAUAUGGGCACAGAAAUAGAGCUACAAGAGUGUGCAGGAGGUUGUGGAGGUUUCUACCUACAAGACUGAUCCAUGGUGGAUCCAGUGGAAUUGGUACAUUCGCUAUACAGAUUGCCAAGUACCUCGGAAUUAAGGUUUUUGUCACUGCAGGUGUUGAUGUGAUUCUGGAUAAUAUUGGAGGAUCAUAUCUCCAGCGCAAUCUAAACAGCUUAGGUGUUGAUGGUAGACUUUUCAUCAUUGGCUUCCAAGGGGGCAUAGCAGCUGAAGUGAACCUGCAAGCUGUGCUUGCAUGCCGUUUGACCAUACAAGCUGCUGGACUGCGCAACAGAAGCCUUGCCAAUAAGGCAGAGAUUGUUAGUGAGGUGGAAAAGAACGUGUGGCCUGCUGUCGCUGCUGGCAAAGUGAAGCCGGUGAUUUACAAGACGUUUCCGUUAUGUGAAGCUGCUGAGGCUCAUAGGUUGAUGGAAGCUAGCACCCACAUCGGCAAGAUACUGCUGCUCCCACUGCACCUGUGGCGUUUGUGCUCUUACUCUCGGAGGAGUCAGUUCAAGAACAUAUGCAACUUCUGUGACAGCCUGCAUGGAUGUUGUACUGGUGUAGCAUGUCUUUUUUUAUAUAUCUUGUAG
This 888-nucleotide unclassified non-coding RNA is filed under the name Zea mays. RNAcentral describes it as "misc RNA Zm00001eb197080". Lineage: Eukaryota; Viridiplantae; Streptophyta; Magnoliopsida; Poales; Poaceae. The record is from RNAcentral.